UCAAGAACGGUUUUUUGAAAACGCUAACUUUGGAAGUUAGAAGAUGAGGUAACUCAUUUUUGAA
RNAcentral lists this transfer RNA (64 nucleotides) under Onchidium reevesii. RNAcentral describes it as "tRNA-Pro". The record is from RNAcentral. Lineage: Eukaryota; Metazoa; Mollusca; Gastropoda; Systellommatophora; Onchidiidae.